Molecule: transfer RNA, 69 nt
Filed under: Lamprocoris sp. HL-2012
Lineage: Eukaryota; Metazoa; Arthropoda; Insecta; Hemiptera; Scutelleridae
Description: tRNA-Ser
Rfam family: tRNA
About the family: Transfer RNA (tRNA) molecules are approximately 80 nucleotides in length. Their secondary structure includes four short double-helical elements and three loops (D, anti-codon, and T loops). Further hydrogen bonds mediate the characteristic L-shaped molecular structure. tRNAs have two regions of fundamental functional importance: the anti-codon, which is responsible for specific mRNA codon recognition, and the 3' end, to which the tRNAs corresponding amino acid is attached (by aminoacyl-tRNA synthetases). tRNAs cope with the degeneracy of the genetic code in two manners: having more than one tRNA (with a specific anti-codon) for a particular amino acid; and 'wobble' base-pairing, i.e. permitting non-standard base-pairing at the 3rd anti-codon position.
Source: RNAcentral
AGUCAAUAAGUUUUAGAGAAACAUGUACUUUGAAAGUACAAAAUGAUAGUUAAAUUCUAUCAUUGACUU